GAUGAACGCUGGCGGCGUGCCUAAUACAUGCAAGUCGAGCGAACGGACGAGAAGCUUGCUUCUCUGAUGUUAGCGGCGGACGGGUGAGUAACACGUGGAUAACCUACCUAUAAGACUGGGAUAACUUCGGGAAACCGGAGCUAAUACCGGAUAAUAUUUUUAACCGCAUGGUUCAAAAGUGAAAGACGGUCUUGCUGUCACUUAUAGACGGAUCCGCGCUGCAUUAGCUAGUUGGUAAGGUAACGGCUUACCAAGGCCACGAUGCAUAGCCGACCUGAGAGGGUGAUCGGCCACACUGGAACUGAGACACGGUCCAGACUCCUAAGGGAGGCAGCAGUAGGGAAUCUUGCGCAAUGGGCGAAAGCCUGACGGAGCAACGCCGCGUGAGUGAUGAAGGUCUUCGGAUCGUAAAACUCUGUUAUUAGGGAAGAACAUAUGUGUAAGUAACUGUGCACAUCUUGACGGUACCUAAUCAGAAAGCCACGGCUAACUACGUG
RNAcentral lists this ribosomal RNA (497 nucleotides) under uncultured bacterium. RNAcentral's name for it is "partial 16S ribosomal RNA". It matches the Rfam family "Bacterial small subunit ribosomal RNA", at positions 28 to 507 of the family's 1533-position model. The record is from RNAcentral.